UACUAGUUGUUGGGUCUUAAUUGACUUAGUAACGCAGCUAACGCGUGAAGUAGACCGCCUGGGGAGUACGGUCGCAAGAUUAAAACUCAAAGGAAUUGACGGGGACCCGCACAAGCGGUGGAUGAUGUGGAUUAAUUCGAUGCAACGCGAAAAACCUUACCUACCCUUGACAUGGCAGGAAUCCCGGAGAGAUUUGGGAGUGCUCGAAAGAGAACCUGCACACAGGUGCUGCAUGGCUGUCGUCAGCUCGUGUCGUGAGAUGUUGGGUUAAGUCCCGCAACGAGCGCAACCCUUGUCAUUAGUUGCUACGCAAGAGCACUCUAAUGAGACUGCCGGUGACAAACCGGAGGAAGGUGGGGAUGACGUCAAGUCCUCAUGGCCCUUAUGGGUAGGGCUUCACACGUCAUACAAUGGUACAUACAGAGGGCCGCCAACCCGCGAGGGGGAGCUAAUCCCAGAAAGUGUAUCGUAGUCCGGAUUGUAGUCUGCAACUCGACUACAUGAAGUUGGAAUCGCUAGUAAUCGCGGAUCAGCAUGUCGCGGUGAAUACGUUCCCGGGUCUUGUACACACCGCCCGUCACACCAUGGGAGCGGGUUUUACCAGAAGUAGGUAGCUUAACCGCAAGGAGGGCGCUUACCACGGUAGGAUUCGUGACUGGGGUGAAGUCGUAACAAGGUAACCA
This 683-nucleotide ribosomal RNA is filed under the name bacterium enrichment culture clone ADE_61. Its description in RNAcentral is "bacterial SSU rRNA". It matches the Rfam family "Bacterial small subunit ribosomal RNA", at positions 814 to 1502 of the family's 1533-position model. The record is from RNAcentral.